Molecule: ribosomal RNA, 856 nt
Filed under: uncultured archaeon
Lineage: Archaea
Description: bacterial SSU rRNA
Rfam family: Archaeal small subunit ribosomal RNA
Source: RNAcentral
UUCUCUGGUUGAUCCUGCCGGAGGUCACUGCUAUCCGAAUUCGACUAAGCCAUGCUAGUCCUGGGUUAAACCAGGGCAUACGGCUCAGUAGCACGUAGUUAACCUGCCCUUGGGUUUGGGGUAAUCUCGCGAAAGUGAGGGCUGAUCCCCUGUUAGGUGAUUAUUCCUGGAAUGGUUUUUCACUGAACCAAGGAUGGGACUGCGGCCUAUUAGAUUGUUGUCAGAGUAACGACCUGACAAGUCUAUAAUGGGUACGGGCCUUGAGAGAGGAAGCCCGGAGAUGGGAUCUGAGACAAGAUUCCAGGCCCUACGGGGCGCAGCAGGCGCGAAAAUUUCGCAAUUCACGCAAGUGUGACGAAGGGAUUCGGAGUGCUUUCUCUUCGGAGGAAGCUUUUGCCGAGUCCAAAACGCUCGGAGAAUAAGUGGUGGGUAAGACGGGUGCCAGCCGCCGCGGUAAUACCCGCGCCACGAGUGGUGAUCACUCUUAUUGGGUUUAGAGCGUUCGUAGCCGGUUUGGCAAGUUCCUAAUGAAAUCCUGCAGUAAACUGUAGGGGCUUGUUAGGGGUACUACCAGGCUUGAGACCGGGAGAGGUUGAGGGUAUUAUCGGAGUAGGGGUAAAAUCCUGUAAUUCCGAUAGGACCACCUGUGGCGAAGGCGCUCAACUAGAACGGAUCUGACGGUGAGGGACGAAAGCUAGGGGAGCAAAGGGGAUUAGAUACCCCCGUAGUCCUAGCUGUAAACGAUGCCCGCUAGACAUUGGAUAUCUUACGUGGAUAUCCAGAGUCGCAGGAAAACCGUUAAGCGGGCCACCUGGGGAGUACGGUCGCAAGGCUGAAACUUAAAGGAAUUGGCGGG